ACCUGGGUGGCUCAGUCGGUUGAGCAUCUGACUUCAGCUCAAGUCGUGAUCUCAUGGUUCGUGGGUUCCAGCCCCACGUCGGGUU
RNAcentral lists this transfer RNA (85 nucleotides) under Felis catus (domestic cat). It matches the Rfam family "tRNA". Rfam says of the family: Transfer RNA (tRNA) molecules are approximately 80 nucleotides in length. Their secondary structure includes four short double-helical elements and three loops (D, anti-codon, and T loops). Further hydrogen bonds mediate the characteristic L-shaped molecular structure. tRNAs have two regions of fundamental functional importance: the anti-codon, which is responsible for specific mRNA codon recognition, and the 3' end, to which the tRNAs corresponding amino acid is attached (by aminoacyl-tRNA synthetases). tRNAs cope with the degeneracy of the genetic code in two manners: having more than one tRNA (with a specific anti-codon) for a particular amino acid; and 'wobble' base-pairing, i.e. permitting non-standard base-pairing at the 3rd anti-codon position. RNAcentral also lists the same sequence under 2 other names. Lineage: Eukaryota; Metazoa; Chordata; Mammalia; Carnivora; Felidae. The record is from Rfam by way of RNAcentral.